RNAcentral lists this ribosomal RNA (274 nucleotides) under uncultured bacterium. RNAcentral describes it as "partial 16S ribosomal RNA". It matches the Rfam family "Bacterial small subunit ribosomal RNA", at positions 523 to 796 of the family's 1533-position model. The record is from RNAcentral.
AUACGGAGGGUGCAAGCGUUACUCGGAGUCACUGGGCGUAAAGCGCGCGCAGGCGGCUUGAUAAGUUGGAUGUGAAAGCCUACGGCUCAACCGUAGAACUGCAUCCAAAACUGUCAGGCUAGAGUCUGGGAGGGGAAGAUGGAAUUAGUUGUGUAGGGGUAAAAUCCGUAGAGAUAACUAGGAAUACCAAAAGCGAAGGCGAUCUUCUGGAACAGUACUGACGCUGAGGCGCGAAAGCGUGGGGAGCAAACAGGAUUAGAAACCCUAGUAGUCC